UUCACUAAUGGCGUGUUGUACAUAACUGUAAACAAAAUGGACGAACAGUUAAUAUGAAAACAGUCAAAUUCUAGGUAAAACUAUGGCUAAGCCAGGAAAAUUCUGCACACCUUGUAGGUUGGCUCACAAUGAAUCAAACCCUGCUAUAAACUGGUGCCCAUCCUGUCAGGAAUCGUUGUGCUGUAAAUGCAGUGGAUAUCACAAAAUACAAACAUCGACAAAAAGUCACCAACUUAAUUCAAUCGAAGAAGUCCAGAUGUUACCGUCGGUUGCUUUGUCGAUUAGUGUUAUGUGUGAUAAGCAUAAUAUGAAACUAGAUUAUUUUUUUCAUUUCACAACGAACCUUGUUGCGUCCAAUGCAUAUCAAGAAAUCAUCCUGAUUGUCGUCCACCAAUAUCUUUACUUGAAAAUAUUGUAAACUGAAACUCAAAGCAAUCAUCUACUGUUAAAAAGCUUGAAGAGAGUUUAUGUUCUGUUGUUGAAACCCUGGAUAUUUUGAAACAAGACCAUCAACGAAACAACGAAAAUAUCAAAAAGCAACGCCAAAAAUUAGAAUCUGAGGUUAAAGAAUUUCGAAAAAGUAUAAUUACUUGCCUUGAUGUUUUUGAAAAAAGGCUUUUCGAAAGUAUUGCAAAAUCAUCUGAUCGUUGUAAAAAUGAAAUAACAGAAAAAUACAAUGAACUAGAAGCAUUAACCGUUCAGUGCACAGGUAUCAGAGAUUAUCUUUCUAAUAUGAAACAAUUUGCAUCUGACUUACAGAUGUUUCUCGGGACUAGAUCACUACAAAAAAGACUUGAUUCUAUUGGAUCGUCUAUAUCAGGAAUAGGAGAGCGACUAGGGAAUUAUGACAUAAAAUUUACAAGGGACUUAAAUAUUAAGCAUGUUAAGUCGUUCAUGGAAGAGUUUGCUGAAACACACAUCAUAUGUGAGAACCAUUGCGAUUCUAAGUUUUCACAAGCUCAAACCUGGACAGCAAAGUCACGUAAAGAUCAACGCGGAAUUAGUGCUAAGGGAGGGAAAAGCGCUUCAGUUAGAGGUGGGAAAAGCAAAUCUCAUGAAGCUAAAGAUUCUGAUCGACUUUUUAUCCCUAAAUCUAGAGUGACCGAAACGACAAGGUUUUCUUCAACGACAAAGCUGACACUACAACAAAAAUUCGUAACUGAAUCAACAGAUUACAUCAAUAUAAAUGGAUGCACAAUUCUUUCAAAUGGAGAGCUUGUAUUCACAGAAUAUGAAAAUAAGUGUCUUGUUGUCUAUCAGAGCGAUGGUGUUAAAUCUCGGACAAUAAAAUUGUUUGAUAACCCGUGGGAUGUAUGUGAGGUUGCAAAUAAAUAUGUAGCUUUGAAUUUCCCCGUUCGAAGUACAAUUCAGGUUAUAGAAAUUUCCUCAUCAAAGCCCAAGGUAAUGGAGAAUUUCAGUACUUCAGAUGGCAUUUGUACCGCUAUAACUUACAACGAUCCAAACUUAAUUGUUGCAAUCCAGAAAGUUGGAUUCCAAAUAUUUGACUUAAAGGGAAAACUUGUCAAAACAAUAGAAAUGAAGUUUCAUGACGCUAAAUACAUUGCAUUUUAGUCUUCGCGUUUAUUCUAUACCGACUGGAAGAAAAACGAAGUAGUGUGUUGCGAUUUGGAACAGCAAAUUUAUUGGAAAUUCAAGAGGUCGGACCUAAAAUGUCCGAGUGGCGUAAGUGUUGACUAUGAACGCAAUAUCCUUGUUGUCGGAACUUCAUCAGGCAAUAUUCUGAAAAUAACACGCGAUGGCAAAUCAGCUGAAGAAAUUCUAAGACCCGAAGGCGGUUUCAAUUCUCCAACUGGAAUUUUCAUUGGGAAACAAAAAGAGCUCGUUUUGGUUUGCUUUCAUGAUAAUACCUUUGCCGCAACAUUUCAAUUCUUUAAAACAAAAUAGGCUGUUGAAUAAAUAAAGCUGAGUAACAAUUUAUUUGAUUUCGUCUGAUCGUUUUGGUAGAAAAUGUAUGACUGCUAUAGAUAAGAUAGCAAUAUUUUUUUUUCUUUGUUGUUUUGGUAAUAAAUCAGACAUAAUGUAU
Molecule: long non-coding RNA, 2044 nt
Organism: Mytilus californianus (California mussel)
Lineage: Eukaryota; Metazoa; Mollusca; Bivalvia; Mytilida; Mytilidae
Exons: 2
Source: RefSeq, a predicted model, not a curated record